AUACGUAGGGAGCAAGCGUUAUCCGGAUUUAUUGGGUGUAAAGGGUGCGUAGACGGGAAUGCAAGUUAGUUGUGAAAUCCCUCGGCUUAACUGAGGAACUGCAACUAAAACUAUAUUUCUUGAGUGCUGGAGAGGAAAGUGGAAUUCCUAGUGUAGCGGUGAAAUGCGUAGAUAUUAGGAGGAACACCGGUGGCGAAGGCGACUUUCUGGACAGUAACUGACGUUGAGGCACGAAAGUGUGGGGAGCAAACAGGAUUAGAUACCCUGGUAGUCCACACCGUAAACGAUGGAUACUAGGUGUAGGGGGUGAUAAAUCCUCUGUGCCGUCGCAAACGCAGUAAGUAUCCCACCUGGGGAGUACGGCCGCAAGGUUGAA
RNAcentral lists this ribosomal RNA (376 nucleotides) under uncultured bacterium. RNAcentral's name for it is "bacterial SSU rRNA". It matches the Rfam family "Bacterial small subunit ribosomal RNA", at positions 523 to 898 of the family's 1533-position model. The record is from RNAcentral.